UCGAAUACUAAAUAAUAGACCAGCAGCUUUACAAGUCAAGAGAAAAGCUCCAAAUAAAUCUGUUGUGUCUGUGAUCAUCUGGCUCUCUGAGGACUCUUUAUCUGCUGCAGCUGAAUGUUGAUAAAAACAAAAGUCCUCACAAGCGUCAACAGGCUUUGUCUUCAAUUCUCACAGCAGAACAAGUCCAAGGUCAUUUCAUCACAGUCACAACAACAACAACAAUAAGAAGUUUUUCUGUCCAAUGGGAGCCUUCAGUAACUGGAGCUUGUCGGGGUGGACGGUGUCUUUGGCCAAAAUGGAGUUUCAUACACCUGCACACCUGCCUUCUAUCGGCUCAUCUUCUCCCUCAGUCAACACACACCUGCCAGCUAUCAUUUCACCUCCUCUCCAGUAUAUAUCUACCCCGGCUCUUCACCCACUCUUCACUGGAUUGUUGUUUCAACCUCAGCGGAUCAUCUCAUUCCUGCCUGCCAGCUAGGCUUCCCCUCAUCCCACGCUCACAGCCACACACCCUCUCUCUCCACCUGCUGCCGCUGGAUCCCUUUCCCCAACACUCCAAGACCAGAACUCUCCUGCAAUAAACCUUUUUUCUUUAACAACA
Molecule: long non-coding RNA, 601 nt
Organism: Thunnus maccoyii (southern bluefin tuna)
Lineage: Eukaryota; Metazoa; Chordata; Actinopteri; Scombriformes; Scombridae
Exons: 3
Source: RefSeq, a predicted model, not a curated record